Molecule: ribosomal RNA, 502 nt
Filed under: uncultured bacterium
Lineage: Bacteria
Description: bacterial SSU rRNA
Rfam family: Bacterial small subunit ribosomal RNA
Source: RNAcentral
GACGAACGCUGGCGGCGCGCCUAACACAUGCAAGUCGAACGGGACUAUUUUCAAACGAGGCUUCGGCCGAGGGAGGAUUUAGUCUAGUGGCGGACGGGUGAGUAACGCGUGAGCAACCUGCCCUUCAGUGGGGGACAACAGCUGGAAACGGCUGCUAAUACCGCAUAUUGCACAUGGGUCGCAUGGCCUGUGUGUGAAAGAUUUAUCGCUGAGGGAUGGGCUCGCGUCUGAUUAGCUAGUUGGUGGGGUAACGGCCCACCAAGGCGACGAUCAGUAGCCGGACUGAGAGGUUGAACGGCCACAUUGGGACUGAGAUACGGCCCAGACUCCUACGGGAGGCAGCAGUGGGGAAUAUUGGGCAAUGGGCGCAAGCCUGACCCAGCAACGCCGCGUGACGGAAGAAGGCUUUCGGGUUGUAAACUUCUUUGACCAGGGAAGAAACAAAUGACGGUACCUGGAAAACAAGCCACGGCUAACUACGUGCCAGCCGCCGCAGUAAGAC